GACGAACGCUGGCGGCGUGCUUAACACAUGCAAGUCGAACGCUGAAGCUCAGCUUUUGUUGGGUGGAUGAGUGGCGAACGGGUGAGUAACACGUGAGUAACCUGCCUCCUUCUUUGGGAUAACGCCCGGAAACGGGUGCUAAUACUGGAUAUUCACUGGUCUUCGCAUGGGGGUUGGUGGAAAGGGUCUUUCUGGUGGGGGAUGGGCUCGCGGCCUAUCGGCUUGUUGGUGGGGUGAUGGCCUACCAAGGCUUUGACGGGUAGCCGGCCUGAGUGGGUGACCGGUCACAGUGGGACUGAGAUGCGGCCCAGACUCGUACGGGAGGCAGCAGUGGGGAAUAUUGCACAAUGGGCGCAAGCCUGAUGCAGCGACGCCGCGUGAGGGAUGGAGGCCGUCGGGUUGUGAACCUCUUUCGCUCAUGGUCAAGCCGAAACAAUGGUUGUGGUGAGGGUAGUGGGUAAAGAAGCGCCGGCUAACUACGUG
RNAcentral lists this ribosomal RNA (483 nucleotides) under uncultured bacterium. RNAcentral describes it as "partial 16S ribosomal RNA". It matches the Rfam family "Bacterial small subunit ribosomal RNA", at positions 28 to 507 of the family's 1533-position model. The record is from RNAcentral.